AUGAUGAUGAUGGUGAUGGUGAUGUCCAUGAUGAUGAAUCUGUUUCCCCUUAAGUUGCUUCCGCAUGUCAUAUGCGUACUCUCCAUCUGCAUAAUACUUUGCCUCCACAUCAUGAAUCUUAUAACCCAAUGUUUCUGUGUAGAGAUUAAAUGCUGCCCGGUUACUCUUCCUAACAUGCAGUGAGACAUACUCUGCACCAAACACCUGUUCCAAAUAAUACCAUGGUGAUGAUAUAGAGAUACACAUACACAACUCAUUUACACACUAACCCUUUAUCCAGUUUUGCACUUAUAGUUGCUCUAUUAAGACAAUUUUCGAACAAAAUUCCGACUAUUUGCCACACAAACUUCAACUACUUAACUGAUCACAUUGGCAAUGCGGAAAUACUCAUUUCGCACUUUCAAUUAAAAAAAUGGUUCAGAACUUGUUCUUAGAAACAAAAUAGUUCAGUAAUAUCAAUCAUAUAAGAGCUUAAUAUCAGCAUUUGUUCACACCAAAAUAUCUUCAAGAAUAGUGAAAUCAUGGACCUAAAGGUAGUCUGAUACAUAUUUUGCAUAAUGAUGCUCUUUCCUUUGGGGAUAAUCAUUUAACACAAUUCAACUACAAAAGUAUAAAAUGACAUAAAUCACAUUCACAAUCAAUUCCCUUAAUCAGAAUUUAUGGGAUAUCCAUUCAAUCCCAAGUGGCAUUCAUUCAAAUACAAAAACAUGCGUAGCCAUCAAACUACAGGAUUUUUCUUCUUCAAAAGUGGUAAUAAAACUGCUUCUCAAUUUCACUAAUUUUAUUAAAACACUCAAAAAAGCAGAGAAAUUUUAUGCAUUUCUUAAGCAUUCAAAGGGUGAAAAAUCAAAUCCCUAAUUCAAUAUCUUCACAAGAAUUAAGCAUAAUACUUAACCUGUUCCAUGGCGGUCUGGGCAGCAUUCAUGAGCUUAGUUGCGAGGCCCAACUUGCGGUGGGUGCGGAGGACGGCGAGAGAGGUAAUAUGACCGUGACACUCGUUAGAUUCUUCCUCCAUCUUGGCUAAGACGUAGCCGACGAUGCGGCCGUUGUAGUCCUCGGCGACGUAGAGGAGCUGGGGCCAGGAGAGGAUGUGGUAGAAAUAAUACUUCAUCUGGUAGUUUUCCGGUAGGCACAGCAGGUUACAGGCUUGCAUCGCCAGUAGGUCAUCUAUUGUCGCCUUCCUUAUGCAAACCAUGGCUGGAUUGCUGAUUUUCUCUAGCUCUUUUCAGGGUUAGGGUUAGGUUUUUACGCUCUUCGGAGCACUCUGGCUUUUGCGAGAAAACGAGGAACCAUUGAGUGUGGUGCGUGUGUAAGAAGUGGCUGUCAGACAU
RNAcentral lists this unclassified non-coding RNA (1331 nucleotides) under Hevea brasiliensis (rubber tree). The record is from RNAcentral. Lineage: Eukaryota; Viridiplantae; Streptophyta; Magnoliopsida; Malpighiales; Euphorbiaceae.